CAAGUCUUGACAUCCUCCUGGAUACAGGGUAAUGCCUGUAGGCCUUCGGGACAGGAGAGACAGGUGGUGCAUGGUUGUCGUCAGCUCGUGUCGUGAGAUGUUGGGUUAAGUCCCGCAACGAGCGCAACCCCUAUCUUUAGUAGCCAGCGAGUGAAGUCGGGCACUCUAGAGAGACUGCCGGGGAUAACCCGGAGGAAGGUGGGGAUGACGUCAAAUCAUCAUGCCCCUUAUGAUUUGGGCUACACACGUGCUACAAUGGCGUAAACAGAGGGAAGCGAGCCUGCGAGGGGGAGCAAAUCCCAAAAAUAACGUCCCAGUUCGGAUUGUAGUCUGCAACCCGACUACAUGAAGCUGGAAUCGCUAGUAAUCGCGGAUCAGAAUGCCGCGGUGAAUACGUUCCGC
Molecule: ribosomal RNA, 402 nt
Filed under: uncultured bacterium
Lineage: Bacteria
Description: bacterial SSU rRNA
Rfam family: Bacterial small subunit ribosomal RNA
Source: RNAcentral